RNAcentral lists this transfer RNA (75 nucleotides) under Fidelibacterota bacterium. RNAcentral's name for it is "tRNA-Glu". It matches the Rfam family "tRNA". Rfam says of the family: Transfer RNA (tRNA) molecules are approximately 80 nucleotides in length. Their secondary structure includes four short double-helical elements and three loops (D, anti-codon, and T loops). Further hydrogen bonds mediate the characteristic L-shaped molecular structure. tRNAs have two regions of fundamental functional importance: the anti-codon, which is responsible for specific mRNA codon recognition, and the 3' end, to which the tRNAs corresponding amino acid is attached (by aminoacyl-tRNA synthetases). tRNAs cope with the degeneracy of the genetic code in two manners: having more than one tRNA (with a specific anti-codon) for a particular amino acid; and 'wobble' base-pairing, i.e. permitting non-standard base-pairing at the 3rd anti-codon position. The record is from RNAcentral. Lineage: Bacteria; Pseudomonadati; Fidelibacterota.
GGCCCCUUCGUCUAGUGGUUAGGACGUCAGGUUUUCGACCUGAGAACAGGGGUUCGAUUCCCCUAGGGGUCACUA